Molecule: ribosomal RNA, 253 nt
Filed under: uncultured bacterium
Lineage: Bacteria
Description: partial 16S ribosomal RNA
Rfam family: Bacterial small subunit ribosomal RNA
Source: RNAcentral
AACGUAGGACGCAAGCGUUAUCCGGAGUUACUGGGCGUAAAGCGCGGGCAGGCGGUUCCUUAAGUCUGAUGUGAAAUCUCCCGGCUCAACCGGGAGCAGCCAUUGGAAACUAGGGAACUGGAGGGCGAGAGAGGUAGGCGGAAUUCCGGGUGGAGUGGUGAAAUGCGUAGAGAUCCGGAGGAACACCAGAGGCGAAGGCGGCCCCCUGGGCCGUUCCUGACGCUGAGACGCGAAGGCGCGGGGAGCGAACGGG